GUGGGUGUAGCUCAACUGGUUAGAGCACCUGGUUGUGGUCCAGGAGGUUGUGGGUUCGAGUCCCAUCACUCACC
Molecule: transfer RNA, 74 nt
Filed under: Fidelibacterota bacterium
Lineage: Bacteria; Pseudomonadati; Fidelibacterota
Description: tRNA-His
Rfam family: tRNA
About the family: Transfer RNA (tRNA) molecules are approximately 80 nucleotides in length. Their secondary structure includes four short double-helical elements and three loops (D, anti-codon, and T loops).
Source: RNAcentral